This 459-nucleotide ribosomal RNA is filed under the name uncultured bacterium. RNAcentral describes it as "partial 16S ribosomal RNA". It matches the Rfam family "Bacterial small subunit ribosomal RNA", at positions 338 to 795 of the family's 1533-position model. The record is from RNAcentral.
CCUACGGGCGGCAGCAGUGAGGAAUAUUGGUCAAUGGGCGGAAGCCUGAACCAGCCAAGUCGCGUGCGGGAUGACGGCCCUACGGGUUGUAAACCGCUUUUGCACGGGGAUAACACCCUCCACUUGUGGAGGUCUGCAGGUACCGUGCGAAUAAGGGCCGGCUAAUUCCGUGCCAGCAGCCGCGGUAAUACGGAAGGCCCGAGCGUUAUCCGGAUUCAUUGGGCUUAAAGGGAGCGUAGGCGGGCGUUCAAGUCAGCGGUAAAAUCGCGCGGCUCAACCGCGCCCCGCAGUUGAAACUGGACGCCUUGAGUGCACAACAGGCAGGCGGAAUUCGUGGUGUAGCGGUGAAAUGCAUAGAUAUCACGAGGAACCCCGAUUGCGAAGGCAGCCUGCCGGGGUGCGACUGACGCUGAGGCUCGAAGGUGCGGGUAUCAAACAGGAUUAGAUACCCCUGUAGUC